CCCUUAGAUGUUCUGGGCCGCACGCGCGCUACACUGAUGCAUUCAACGAGUCUAAAACCUGCUCUGAUAGGGGUGGGUAAUCUUUUGAAUGUGCAUCGUGAUUGGGAUAGAUGAUUGCAAUUUUUCAUCUUCAACGAGGAAUGCCUAGUAAACGCAAGUCAUCAGCUUGCAUUGAUUACGUCCCUGCCCUUUGUACACACCGCCCGUCGCUCCUACCGAUUGAAUGAUCCGAUGAAUAUCAUGGAUUGAGGAUUAUAGCUGGUUCGCCUGUCUUGAUCUUCGAGAAGUGAAGUAAAUCUUAUCAUUUAGAGGAAGGAGAAGUCGUAACA
Molecule: ribosomal RNA, 329 nt
Filed under: uncultured eukaryote
Lineage: Eukaryota
Description: partial 18S ribosomal RNA
Rfam family: Eukaryotic small subunit ribosomal RNA
Source: RNAcentral